RNAcentral lists this ribosomal RNA (1293 nucleotides) under metagenome. RNAcentral describes it as "bacterial SSU rRNA". It matches the Rfam family "Bacterial small subunit ribosomal RNA", at positions 11 to 1325 of the family's 1533-position model. The record is from RNAcentral.
GUUUGAUCCUGGCUCAGGACGAACGCUGGCGGCGCGCCUAACACAUGCAAGUCGAACGAGCGAGAGAGAGCUUGCUUUCUCGAGCGAGUGGCGAACGGGUGAGUAACGCGUGAGGAACCUGCCUCAAAGAGGGGGACAACAGUUGGAAACGACUGCUAAUACCGCAUAAGCCCACGGCUCGGCAUCGAGCAGAGGGAAAAGGAGCAAUCCGCUUUGAGAUGGCCUCGCGUCCGAUUAGCUAGUUGGUGAGGUAACGGCCCACCAAGGCGACGAUCGGUAGCCGGACUGAGAGGUUGAACGGCCACAUUGGGACUGAGACACGGCCCAGACUCCUACGGGAGGCAGCAGUGGGGAAUAUUGCACAAUGGGGGAAACCCUGAUGCAGCGACGCCGCGUGGAGGAAGAAGGUCUUCGGAUUGUAAACUCCUGUUGUUGGGGAAGAUAAUGACGGUACCCAACAAGGAAGUGACGGCUAACUACGUGCCAGCAGCCGCGGUAAAACGUAGGUCACAAGCGUUGUCCGGAAUUACUGGGUGUAAAGGGAGCGCAGGCGGGAAGACAAGUUGGAAGUGAAAUCUAUGGGCUCAACCCAUAAACUGCUUUCAAAACUGUUUUUCUUGAGUAGUGCAGAGGUAGGCGGAAUUCCCGGUGUAGCGGUGGAAUGCGUAGAUAUCGGGAGGAACACCAGUGGCGAAGGCGGCCUACUGGGCACCAACUGACGCUGAGGCUCGAAAGUGUGGGUAGCAAACAGGAUUAGAUACCCUGGUAGUCCACACCGUAAACGAUGAUUACUAGGUGUUGGAGGAUUGACCCCUUCAGUGCCGCAGUUAACACAAUAAGUAAUCCACCUGGGGAGUACGACCGCAAGGUUGAAACUCAAAGGAAUUGACGGGGGCCCGCACAAGCAGUGGAGUAUGUGGUUUAAUUCGACGCAACGCGAAGAACCUUACCAAGUCUUGACAUCCCUUGACAGGCAUAGAAAUAUGUUUUCUCUUCGGAGCAAGGAGACAGGUGGUGCAUGGUUGUCGUCAGCUCGUGUCGUGAGAUGUUGGGUUAAGUCCCGCAACGAGCGCAACCCUUAUGGUCAGUUACUACGCAAGAGGACUCUGGCCAGACUGCCGUUGACAAAACGGAGGAAGGUGGGGAUGACGUCAAAUCAUCAUGCCCUUUAUGACUUGGGCUACACACGUACUACAAUGGCGUUAAACAAAGAGAAGCAAGACCGCGAGGUGGAGCAAAACUCAGAAACAACGUCCCAGUUCGGACUGCAGGCUGCAACUCGCCUGCACGAAG